GGUGAACGCUGGCGGCGUGCUUAAGACAUGCAAGUCGAACGCAGUCUUCGGACUGAGUGGCGCACGGGUGAGUAACACGUAACUGUCCUACCCCCAAGUCGCGGAUAACUGGCCGAAAGGUCAGCUAAUACGUGAUGUGAUGUCCCCUUUCUGGGGGGCCAUUAAAGGUUUACUGCUUGGGGAUGGGGUUGCGUUCCAUCAGCUAGUUGGCGGGGUAAAGGCCCACCAAGGCAACGACGGAUAGCCGGCCUGAGAGGGUGGCCGGCCACAGGGGCACUGAGACACGGGUCCCACUCCUACGGGAGGCAGCAGUUAGGAAUCUUCCACAAUGGGCGAAAGCCUGAUGGAGCGACGCCGCGUGAGGGAUGAAGGUUCUCGGAUCGUAAACCUCUGAAUCAGGGACGAAGGACGCGUAAGCGGGAUGACGGUACCUGAGUAAUAGCACCGGCUAACUCCGUGCCAGCAGCCGCCGUGU
RNAcentral lists this ribosomal RNA (475 nucleotides) under uncultured bacterium. RNAcentral's name for it is "partial 16S ribosomal RNA". It matches the Rfam family "Bacterial small subunit ribosomal RNA", at positions 28 to 523 of the family's 1533-position model. The record is from RNAcentral.